AUUGAACGCUGGCGGCAUGCUUUACACAUGCAAGUCGAACGGCAGCGCGGGCUUCGGCCUGGCGGCGAGUGGCGAACGGGUGAGUAAUGCAUCGGAACGUGCCCAGUAGUGGGGGAUAGCCCGGCGAAAGCCGGAUUAAUACCGCAUACGACCUGAGGGUGAAAGCGGGGGACCGAAAGGCCUCGCGCCAUUGGAGCGGCCGAUGUCGGAUUAGCUAGUUGGUGGGGUAAAGGCUUACCAAGGCGACGAUCCGUAGCUGGUCUGAGAGGACGACCAGCCACACUGGGACUGAGACACGGCCCAGACUCCUACGGGAGGCAGCAGUGGGGAAUUUUGGACAAUGGGGGCAACCCUGAUCCAGCCAUGCCGCGUGCGGGAAGAAGGCCUUCGGGUUGUAAACCGCUUUUGUUCGGGAAGAAAUCCUCUGGGCUAAUACCCCGGGGGGAUGACGGUACCGGAAGAAUAAGCACCGGCUAACUACGUG
Molecule: ribosomal RNA, 484 nt
Filed under: uncultured bacterium
Lineage: Bacteria
Description: partial 16S ribosomal RNA
Rfam family: Bacterial small subunit ribosomal RNA
Source: RNAcentral